CGUGCUAAGUGGGGAGUUAGCGGUUCCCUGUACCCGAAAUCCGCUUUACGCGGGGCUGAUGAUCGAUUGAGGUCAGCUGCUGCACGGAAAGGGCUCAUUUUGAAGUGUUGAAAGCAGAGUCCCACGCAGCGGAAAACCACGAACCUGGUCAGAUCCGAAAGGAAGCAGCCAUAAGUGGCCACUUCUGGGUGACGUGGGGUAGCUUUGUUGGAGCUUCUAAAAUGAGUA
RNAcentral lists this signal recognition particle RNA (228 nucleotides) under marine eukaryotic metagenome. RNAcentral's name for it is "Bacterial large signal recognition particle RNA". It matches the Rfam family "Bacterial large signal recognition particle RNA", at positions 2 to 224 of the family's 256-position model. From Rfam's summary of the family: The signal recognition particle (SRP) is a universally conserved ribonucleoprotein involved in the co-translational targeting of proteins to membranes. Archaeal SRP consists of a 7S RNA and homologues of the eukaryotic SRP19 and SRP54 proteins. The record is from RNAcentral.